AACGUUGCUGAUGGCGAUGGGUAUGUGAUGGUGGCUGGUGUGGUGGACGACCCAGAAUAUGUGGCCUCGCAAGUGCACAUGUAUGUAGCUUUCCUACUCAAAUGCUUCUGUUUCUGCCCCAGCUACUAAGCCAAUAAACACCAAAUCUGGAAUGAGAAAGAGGAUGAGGUCUACUUGAUUGGUGUUUUAUCCAUUUUGUUUGUUCAUGGUGUGUGCAUUGAUUCCCAUGAACUAUAACCUGAUUUGAUGCUACCUUGUCUUUUUUUCAACUUGCAAGGAUUAAGGAUGUAAAGAAAACUAAUUUUAUCGCUCGUAGAGAAUUGUAUUUAUUGUUGACAAUGCUGUGUAAAUAGAAUACCUGAUUGUCUUUUGCAACUUAAUUUCCUUGCAUUUUAAACUCUCAUUUUGAACGAUUAAGGUUACUCUCAUGAACAAUUUUGCUAAACAUUUAUCACAUCUUCUUAAGUGUAGAAUAAUGCAUAUUUUGUUUACCUUUUUAGAUCUUUUCUACUGCUUACAUUUGGUGUUUCCAUUGAAGUUAUUUGGUUCUGGUCUCAGCAGCAGUACACUCUAAGGCACUUUAUGUUCACUCUUUUACAGGAGCUCUAGGCUUAAUUUUUUUGAAGUGUGAAGCUGUGUAGCCAAGUGCGAAGGAGUGAAUCCCUACUUAUCAAAGAGUUUUUUGGUUCUGUAGUUUGUUGAGCAUGAUCAAUCUGACCAGUGAGAACACUUUAAGAUGCAC
Molecule: long non-coding RNA, 742 nt
Filed under: Triticum aestivum (bread wheat)
Lineage: Eukaryota; Viridiplantae; Streptophyta; Magnoliopsida; Poales; Poaceae
Description: long non-coding RNA (TAES_LNC017090)
Source: RNAcentral